Long non-coding RNA from Coffea eugenioides, 782 nucleotides. RefSeq lists it as uncharacterized. Lineage: Eukaryota; Viridiplantae; Streptophyta; Magnoliopsida; Gentianales; Rubiaceae. The record is from RefSeq and is a predicted model, not a curated record. The transcript has 3 exons.
AGUGGAGAUAUGAACAGUAGGGAUAAUGAUUUAGUGGAGUAUCAAUCUCCUUGCAGGUGUCCUUUUUGCAGCAUACUGGUUGUAUGCAGAAAAGAGGUUAACCAGUUUGUGAUAGACCAAACCAGGAUACAAGUUGUUUACUGCCCAUCCUUCUGGAAUCAAAUAAUGUCUCUUCUGUCAGAUGCUGCACUUGCGCAGCUUAUUGCAGAAGUUGGAACAUUGCCUUUUUUUCCAGAAUGAAUAUGCUUUUGAGAACAUAAAACUGUUCUCUUGACAGCUUUAUUGGAUUUUCCAUGACAUUCCACAGUGCUGGAAUUCUUUUGGCACAAGUAAAUACCUAUAAAUGCUACAGGUGUUUGUACAGCUUUGUGGCCAUGCAGCUUAAAGAAGUUCAUGAAGGAGGCUGUGUUCUAGUGUCAGAAAUGACUUAGACUGGAGGCCCAAACCAAAGAAAUUCAGAUACAAGUUCCAGCAGUGUAUCAUUUCUCAGUAUUUCAUUAAGGAUGUUAGAUUGGAAGAUUUCUUCUUCAACAUUAUGUUAGAACUUAAUUUGCAUGAACGCUUAAAUCCUGUUAAUGUUAGCCAUAUAUUCUGCGAACUUUCUCCUGAAAACUCCAUAUUUUCUGAUGGAGUUUACUCGUCUAAGUCUAAACUGAAGCCCUUCAUCUGAUAUUCUUUUUGCUGGCUGCAAGGUAUUGAUAAUUUGGUAUGUCCAUGCAGGGUUUGAACCAUUUUCAGAACAAUAGCUGGCGUGGCAGCUUCUUGUGACUAUAAAAUCUCUC